This 253-nucleotide ribosomal RNA is filed under the name uncultured bacterium. RNAcentral's name for it is "partial 16S ribosomal RNA". It matches the Rfam family "Bacterial small subunit ribosomal RNA", at positions 524 to 776 of the family's 1533-position model. The record is from RNAcentral.
UACGGAGGGGGCUAGCGUUGUUCGGAAUUACUGGGCGUAAAGCGCACGUAGGCGGCUUUGUAAGUUAGAGGUGAAAGCCCGGGGCUCAACUCCGGAAUUGCCUUUAAGACUGCAUCGCUAGAAUUGUGGAGAGGUAAGUGGAAUUCCGAGUGUAGAGGUGAAAUUCGUAGAUAUUCGGAAGAACACCAGUGGCGAAGGCGGCUCACUGGCUCGUAACUGACGCUCAUGCACGACAGCGUGGGGAUCAAACAGG